RNAcentral lists this ribosomal RNA (448 nucleotides) under Citrobacter freundii. Its description in RNAcentral is "partial 23S ribosomal RNA". It matches the Rfam family "Bacterial large subunit ribosomal RNA", at positions 416 to 867 of the family's 2925-position model. RNAcentral also lists the same sequence under 2 other names. Lineage: Bacteria; Pseudomonadati; Pseudomonadota; Gammaproteobacteria; Enterobacterales; Enterobacteriaceae. The record is from RNAcentral.
GGCGGGACACGUGGUAUCCUGUCUGAAUAUGGGGGGACCAUCCUCCAAGGCUAAAUACUCCUGACUGACCGAUAGUGAACCAGUACCGUGAGGGAAAGGCGAAAAGAACCCCGGCGAGGGGAGUGAAAAAGAACCUGAAACCGUGUACGUACAAGCAGUGGGAGCCUCUUUAUGGGGUGACUGCGUACCUUUUGUAUAAUGGGUCAGCGACUUAUAUUCUGUAGCAAGGUUAACCGAAUAGGGGAGCCGAAGGGAAACCGAGUCUUAACUGGGCGUUAAGUUGCAGGGUAUAGACCCGAAACCCGGUGAUCUAGCCAUGGGCAGGUUGAAGGUUGGGUAACACUAACUGGAGGACCGAACCGACUAAUGUUGAAAAAUUAGCGGAUGACUUGUGGCUGGGGGUGAAAGGCCAAUCAAACCGGGAGAUAGCUGGUUCUCCCCGAAAGCU